This 1407-nucleotide ribosomal RNA is filed under the name uncultured bacterium. RNAcentral describes it as "16S ribosomal RNA". It matches the Rfam family "Bacterial small subunit ribosomal RNA". The record is from RNAcentral.
UUAGAGUUUGAUCCUGGCUCAGGAUGAACGCUAGCGAUAGGCCUAACACAUGCAAGUCGAGGGGUAACAGGGUAGCAAUACCGCUGACGACCGGCAAAUGGGUGAGUAACGCGUAUGCAACCUACCGAUAACAGUUGGAUAGCUCCCUGAAAGGGGAAUUAAACCGGCAUGACACUAUGAGAUCGCCUGUUUUCAUAGUUAAAUAUUUAUAGGUUAUUGAUGGGCAUGCGUGACAUUAGCAAGUUGGUGAGGUAACGGCUCACCAAUGCUACGAUGUCUAGGGGUUCUGAGAGGAAGGUCCCCCACACUGGUACUGAGACACGGACCAGACUCCUACGGGAGGCAGCAGUGAGGAAUAUUGGUCAAUGGACGGAAGUCUGAACCACCCACUUCGCGUGCAGGAUGACUGCCCUAUGGGUUGUAAACUGCUUUUAUAUAAGAGGAACAGUAUUUAUGUAUAGAUAUUUGCCAGUAUUAUAUGAAUAAGGAUCGGCUAACUCCGUGCCAGCAGCCGCGGUAAUACGGAGGAUCCGAGCGUUAUCCGGAUUUAUUGAGUUUAAAGGGUGAGUACGCGGUAGUAUAAGUCAGCGGUGAUAACUCGCAGCUCAUCUGUAAGCUUGCCGUUGACACUGUAUUACUUGACUUAACGUUGAGGUAUGCUGAAUGGGGGGGGGUUACCCGUUGAAAUGCAUUAAUCAAAACAACAGACCACCCGAUUUGCGGACGGCAGCAAAACUACACUGUCCACUGACGCUGAUGCACAAAAGGCGUGGGUAUCAAACAGGAUUAGAUACCCUGGUAGUCCACGCUGUAAACGAUGAUUACUGGUUGUUUGUGAUACACUGCAAGUGACUGAGCGAAAGCACUAAGUAAUCCACUUGGCGAGUACGUCGGCAACGAUGAAACUCAAAGGAAUUGACGGGGGCCCGCACAAGCGGUGGAGCAUGUGGUCUAAUUCGAGGCAACGCGAAGAACCUUACCCAGACUUGACAUCUAGGAAAGGUCCUUGAAAGAGGAUCGUGCCCGCAAGGGAAUCCUAAGACAGGUGUUGCAUGGCUGUCGUCAGCUCCUGUCGUGAGAUGUUGGGUUAAGUCCCGCAACGAGCGCAACCCCUGCUUACAGUUACCAUCGGUUCGGCCGGGGACUCUGUAAGGACUGCCGCUGAUAAAGCGAAGGAAGGCGGGGACGACGUCAAGCAAUCACGGCCCUUACGUCUGGGGCUACACACGUGCUACAAUGGCCGGUACAAUGAGUCGCAAAACCGCGAGGUCAAGCUAAUCUCAAAAAACCGGUCUCAGUUCGGAUUGGAGUCUGCAACCCGACUUCGUGAAGCUGGAUUCGCUAGUAAUCGCGCAUCAGCCAUGGCGCGGCGAAUACGUUCCCGGGCCUUGUACACACCGCCCGUCA